UCAGACGGUCGGGCGAUCGCUGUGUUCAUGCCAAACAUGAAUAUGGAGGAAAGUCCGGGCUCCACGGGAGAACGGUGCCGGCUAACGGCCGGCGGGGGCGACCCUAGGGAAAGUGCCACAGAAAACAAACCGCCCGCCUGGCUUUCGGGCUGCGGGUAAGGGUGAAACGGUGCGGUAAGAGCGCACCGCCGCCGCGGCAACGCGGGGGGCAUGGCAAACCCCACCGGGAGCAAGACCGAAUAGGAAUGGCGGAUCGGCAUCCUCGGAUGCGCGAUCAGAGGUUCUCUCGCCUUGUCAUUCGGGUUGGUCGCGUGAGGCUCGUUGCGAGACGAGUCCCAGAGGAAUGAUCGCCCCGUCCUAGCGACGGACAGAACCCGGCUUACAGACCGUCUGACACU
Molecule: non-coding RNA, 398 nt
Organism: Kozakia baliensis
Lineage: Bacteria; Pseudomonadati; Pseudomonadota; Alphaproteobacteria; Acetobacterales; Acetobacteraceae
Rfam family: Bacterial RNase P class A
About the family: Ribonuclease P (RNase P) is a ubiquitous endoribonuclease, found in archaea, bacteria and eukarya as well as chloroplasts and mitochondria. Its best characterised activity is the generation of mature 5'-ends of tRNAs by cleaving the 5'-leader elements of precursor-tRNAs. Cellular RNase Ps are ribonucleoproteins.
Source: Rfam